GUACACAAAAAUGCACAUAUUGUGAGCUCGAUGAGUAGGGCGGGACACGUGGUAUCCUGUCUGAAUAUGGGGGGACCAUCCUCCAAGGCUAAAUACUCCUGACUGACCGAUAGUGAACCAGUACCGUGAGGGAAAGGCGAAAAGAACCCCGGCGAGGGGAGUGAAAAAGAACCUGAAACCGUGUACGUACAAGCAGUGGGAGCCUCUUUAUGGGGUGACUGCGUACCUUUUGUAUAAUGGGUCAGCGACUUAUAUUCUGUAGCAAGGUUAACCGAAUAGGGGAGCCGAAGGGAAACCGAGUCUUAACUGGGCGUUAAGUUGCAGGGUAUAGACCCGAAACCCGGUGAUCUAGCCAUGGGCAGGUUGAAGGUUGGGUAACACUAACUGGAGGACCGAACCGACUAAUGUUGAAAAAUUAGCGGAUGACUUGUGGCUGGGGGUGAAAGGCCAAUCAAACCGGGAGAUAGCUGGUUCUCCCCGAAAGCUAUUUAGGUAGCGCCUCGUGAAUUCAUCUCCGGGGGUAGAGCACUGUUUCGGCAAGGGGGUCAUCCCGACUUACCAACCCGAUGCAAACUGCGAAUACCGGAGAAUGUUAUCACGGGAGACACACGGCGGGUGCUAACGUCCGUCGUGAAGAGGGAAACAACCCAGACCGCCAGCUAAGGUCCCAAAGUCAUGGUUAAGUGGGAAACGAUGUGGGAAGGCCCAGACAGCCAGGAUGUUGGCUUAGAAGCAGCCAUCAUUUAAAGAAAGCGUAAUAGCUCACUGGUCGAGUCGGCCUGCGCGGAAGAUGUAACGGGGCUAAACCAUGCACCGAAGCUGCGGCAGCGACACUAUGUGUUGUUGGGUAGGGGAGCGUUCUGUAAGCCUGUGAAGGUGGCCUGUGAGGGUUGCUGGAGGUAUCAGAAGUGCGAAUGCUGACAUAAGUAACGAUAAAGCGGGUGAAAAGCCCGCUCGCCGGAAGACCAAGGGUUCCUGUCCAACGUUAAUCGGGGCAGGGUGAGUCGACCCCUAAGGCGAGGCCGAAAGGCGUAGUCGAUGGGAAACAGGUUAAUAUUCCUGUACUUGGUGUUACUGCGAAGGGGGGACGGAGAAGGCUAUGUUGGCCGGGCGACGGUUGUCCCGGUUUAAGCGUGUAGGCUGGUUUUCCAGGCAAAUCCGGAAAACCAAGGCUGAGGCGUGAUGACGAGGCACUACGGUGCUGAAGCGACAAAUGCCCUGCUUCCAGGAAAAGCCUCUAAGCAUCAGGUAACAUCAAAUCGUACCCCAAACCGACACAGGUGGUCAGGUAGAGAAUACCAAGGCGCUUGAGAGAACUCGGGUGAAGGAACUAGGCAAAAUGGUGCCGUAACUUCGGGAGAAGGCACGCUGAUAUGUAGGUGAAGCGACUUGCUCGUGGAGCUGAAAUCAGUCGAAGAUACCAGCUGGCUGCAACUGUUUAUUAAAAACACAGCACUGUGCA
RNAcentral lists this ribosomal RNA (1462 nucleotides) under Escherichia coli. Its description in RNAcentral is "partial 23S ribosomal RNA". It matches the Rfam family "Bacterial large subunit ribosomal RNA", at positions 375 to 1827 of the family's 2925-position model. Lineage: Bacteria; Pseudomonadati; Pseudomonadota; Gammaproteobacteria; Enterobacterales; Enterobacteriaceae. The record is from RNAcentral.